UCCUCCCUACGGGGGGCAGCAGUAGUGAAUCUUCCACAAUGGGCGAAAGCCUGAUGGAGCAACGCCGCGUGGGUGAAGAAGGUCUUCGGAUCGUAAAACCCUGUUGUUAGAGAAGAAAGUGCGUGAGAGUAACUGCUCACGUUUCGACGGUAUCUAACCAGAAAGCCACGGCUAACUACGUGCCAGCAGCCGCGGUAAUACGUAGGUGGCAAGCGUUAUCCGGAUUUAUUGGGCGUAAAGGGAACGCAGGCGGUCUUCUAAGUCUGAUGUGAAAGCCUUCGGCUUUACCGGAGUAGUGCAUUGGG
RNAcentral lists this ribosomal RNA (305 nucleotides) under uncultured bacterium. Its description in RNAcentral is "bacterial SSU rRNA". It matches the Rfam family "Bacterial small subunit ribosomal RNA", at positions 333 to 630 of the family's 1533-position model. The record is from RNAcentral.